This 1486-nucleotide long non-coding RNA is filed under the name Phasianus colchicus (ring-necked pheasant). Its description in RNAcentral is "lncRNA (ENSPCLG00000005547.1)". Lineage: Eukaryota; Metazoa; Chordata; Aves; Galliformes; Phasianidae. The record is from RNAcentral.
AUGGGCAAAGGGUUUUGGUGUGGGACAAGUGAAUUCUUUGGCACUUUGGGGUGCGUGAGUGUGUGUGAAGCUUCCCAGCCUCUGAUCGUGCAUUUCUCUGCAGAGCGAGAGGCAAAUCACAGGACUGGGAGUUUCCGUGCCAUAAUUUCUCAGUCCAGUGGCAGCAUCCCCGUACUGACAGCUCCCCUCGAGCCCUGCAGUCAUCCCAGUUACCGGGGUUACCCCUGGUGGUUAUUGGGAGCUUCUGACCGACAUCACUACAGUGAGAGUGGAGAGGAGGUUCCUUACAUCCUACCUUUGGGUGCUGCCACACUGAUGCACGCCACGCUGCUGCUCCCCGGUGGCAGAGGUGCAGCAUCACUUGGGGAGCAUCUGGUGUGUUCUCCACAUGGGACAGUCACGUGGCUUGGACCUGACUUCAGGAUGGAGACUGCAAGGAUCUCUCACUCUUCCCCAGUGGCUUGGAGCAAAAGCCAACAUGGUUAGGAGGUGACUCCAGCGUGACGGGAGGUUUGCCACCCCAGUGCCCUCUGAAGACAUGUAAGCAAGAGACAACACUGCCUCCUGAGCAUCAAGCAACUACUGAUGUUCCUUCAGCAAAGACGCCUGCCUCAAAGGUUGGUGAUGCAAAUGGGGUUUGGAAUGGUCUGUAACUGGCUACUGCUAAUCAAAGCAGAUUGCUGUUAGCUUAAACAGACUCUGACGCUUCCUGAAAAAUGUGUCCAUCUGUCUGCAAAGAGGUUCAAAGUAUGCUAGCGAGGAGAGCUGGCUUGAAAAACACUGUUGUCUCUCUGAACAUAAUUAUACUCUCAUUUCUCUGUUUUCAUGUGUUGUAAUACAGUGAACUUUAAGGAAUUUCAUGGAGACUGAGUUAGUAAAAUCCCAUCCAUCAGACUGAAGGAGUGUGGGCACAGGCAGGACACCCUGCCAUGUAUGAUGCCUCUGCUUGCCAAAAUAGUUUUUGCUUCCAGUGGGAAAAAGCCAGGUUUCCUUGUGGGACAAACAGCCUGUUUCAGUCACGACCUCUGGCCCAGAAACAGUCUUAAUGGUUCUUCUGUGUGGUAUUCAUCAUUACUAAAUAGCUGGCUUGAAAUGUAACUAAUUUCUUUCAUAAAAGUUACUGUAAGCUUGGUCCCUUCUGAACUAAAGCAGUUUUGAGCUAAACUGAAACAUGGGAAAACAGAGGAAAGCAAGAUGGUGAAAAAGCACACAUUUCAAAGGGAAGGUCUGCAGGUGUAAUUACCCUAUUGAUAAUUAUACUUCUCAGCCUGUUGCAAUGCACUCAAAACCACAGAUGACGGGGUGAAGGGAAGUGAACUAAGUCUAGACAGCAAGGGAUCUUUUAAGGGCAACUCAAAUGUGAGUUACGUUAAAGCAAGGUCUCUUAAAGGUGGGGAAUAUACUCCUGAUGUGCACAGGACAGGCCAAAGGAUUUGAAGGUGGGAAUGUGAUGUAAGGCUUUUGUUUGCAAGACUUUGAUAGGAGU